GUGCCAGCAGCCGCGGUAAUACGGAGGGUCCGAGCGUUAUCCGGAAUCAUUGGGUUUAAAGGGUCCGCAGGCGGUCAAUUAAGUCAGAGGUGAAAUCCCAUAGCUUAACUAUGGAACUGCCUUUGAUACUGGUUGACUUGAGUCAUAUGGAAGUAGAUAGAAUGUGUAGUGUAGCGGUGAAAUGCAUAGAUAUUACACAGAAUACCGAUUGCGAAGGCAGUCUACUACGUAUGUACUGACGCUGAGGGACGAAAGCGUGGGGAGCGAACAGGAUUAGAUACCCUGGUAGUCCACGCCGUAAACGAUGGAUACUAGUUGUUGGGCAUUAGCUCAGUGACUAAGCGAAAGUGAUAAGUAUCCCACCUGGGGAGUACGGUCGCAAGACUGAAACUCAAAGGAAUUGACGGGGGCCCGCACAAGCGGUGGAGCAUGUGGUUUAAUUCGAUGAUACGCGAGGAACCUUACCAGGGCUUAAAUGUAGUCUGACAGCUUUAGAGAUAGAGUUUUCUUCGGACAGAUUACAAGGUGCUGCAUGGUUGUCGUCAGCUCGUGCCGUGAGGUGUCAGGUUAAGUCCUAUAACGAGCGCAACCCCUGUCAUUAGUUGCCAGCAUGUAAAGAUGGGGACUCUAAUGGGACUGCCGGUGCAAACCGCGAGGAAAGUGGGGAUGACGUCAAAUCAUCACGGCCCUUACGUCCUGGGCCACACACGUGCUACAAUGGUAUGGACAA
Molecule: ribosomal RNA, 730 nt
Filed under: uncultured bacterium
Lineage: Bacteria
Description: SSU rRNA
Rfam family: Bacterial small subunit ribosomal RNA
Source: RNAcentral